UCCGGUUUGUCACCGGCAGUCUCGCAUGAGUCCCCAGCAUUACCUGAUGGCAACAUGCGACGAGGGUUGCGCUCGUUGCGGGACUUAACCCAACAUCUCACGACACGAGCUGACGACAGCCAUGCACCACCUGUGAGGAUGCCCCGAAGGGAAGGCCUGUUUCCAGGCCGGUCAUCCACAUGUCAAGCCCAGGUAAGGUUCUUCGCGUUGCGUCGAAUUGAACCACAUACUCCACCGCUUGUGCGGGCCCCCGUCAAUUCCUUUGAGUUUCAAUCUUGCGAUCGUACUUCCCAGGUGGAUUACUUAAUGCUUUCGCUCAGACACCAACAGUGUAUCGCUGAUGUCGAGUAAUCAUCGUUUAGGGCGUGGACUAC
This 374-nucleotide unclassified non-coding RNA is filed under the name uncultured bacterium. Its description in RNAcentral is "contains 16S-23S intergenic spacer region". The record is from RNAcentral.